UGAAUACGAGACGCUACGGCGUCGAAGCAGUCUAUGUCAUACUUCCAAGAAAAGCUUGCACUGUCAUAAACAAAUAAUGCCUGUACCAUAACCGACACAGGUGGGUAGGUAGAGUAUACUAAGGGGCGCGAGAUAACUCUCUCUAAGGAACUCGGCAAAAUGACUCCGUAACUUCGGGAGAAGGAGUGCCUUAAGAAAUUAAGGUUGCAAUAACAAGAUCCAAGCAACUGUUUAUCAAAAACACAGGUCUCCGCUAAGUCGUAAGACGAUGUAUGGGGGCUGACGCCUGCCCAGUGCCAGAAGGUUAAAGAAGUCGGUUAGCAUUAGCGAAGCUGGUAACUGAAGCCCUGGUGAACGGCGGCCGUAACAAUAACGGUCCUAAGGUAGCGAAAUUCCUUGUCGGGUAAGUUCCGACCCGCACGAAAGGCGUAAUGAUUUGGAUUCUGUCUCGGAGAGGGACUCGGUGAAAUAGACUUGUCUGUGAAGAUGCGGACUACCUGCACCAGGACAGAAAGACCCUAUGAAGCUUUACUGUAACUUGAAAUUGAAAUUGGACUUUACUUGCGCAGUAUAGGUGGCAGGCGUUGAGAAUAUUCUUGCGGGAAUAUUGGAGCCAUCAGUGAGAUACCACUCUUGUAAUGUUAGAUUUCUAACUUUGUAUCAUUAUCUGGUCAAAGAACAGUUUCAGGCGGGCAGUUUGACUGGGGCGGUCGCCUCCUAAACGGUAACGGAGGCGCACAAAGGUUUCCUCUGAACGGGUAGAAAUCGUAUCUAGAGUGUAAAGGCAUAAGGAAGCUUGACUGUGAGACCUACAAGUCGAGCAGGGACGAAAGUCGGUCUUAGUGAUCUGACGGUGCUGAGUGGAAAGGCCGUCACUCAACGGAUAAAAGUUACUCUAAGGAUAACAGGCUGAUCUCCCCCAAGAGUUCACAUCGACGGGGAGGUUUGGCACCUCGACGUCGGCUCAUCGCAUCCUGGGGCGGUAGUACGUCCCAAGGGUUGGGCUGUUCGCCCAUGAAAGCGGUACGCGAGCUGGGUUCAGAACGUCGUGAGACAGUUCGGUCCAUAUCCGGUGUAGGCGUUAGAAUAUUGAGAGGAGCCUUCUUUAGUACGAGAGGACCGAGAAGGACAUACCUCUGGUGUACCAGUUAUCGUGCCAACGGUAAACGCUGGGUAGCCAUGUAUGGAGAGGAUAACCGCUGAAAGCAUCUAAGUGGGAAGCCCACCUCAAGAUAAG
RNAcentral lists this ribosomal RNA (1237 nucleotides) under metagenome. RNAcentral describes it as "bacterial LSU rRNA". It matches the Rfam family "Bacterial large subunit ribosomal RNA", at positions 1564 to 2808 of the family's 2925-position model. The record is from RNAcentral.